This 241-nucleotide ribosomal RNA is filed under the name uncultured bacterium. RNAcentral's name for it is "partial 16S ribosomal RNA". It matches the Rfam family "Bacterial small subunit ribosomal RNA", at positions 92 to 334 of the family's 1533-position model. The record is from RNAcentral.
CGACCGGCGCACGGGUGCGUAACGCGUAUGCAACCUACCUUUAACAGGGGGAUAACACUGAGAAAUCGGUACUAAUACCCCAUAAUAUCAUAGAAGGCAUCUUUUAUGGUUGAAAAUUCCGAUGGUUAGAGAUGGGCAUGCGUUGUAUUAGCUAGUUGGUGGGGUAACGGCUCACCAAGGCGACGAUACAUAGGGGGACUGAGAGGUUAACCCCCCACACUGGUACUGAGACACGGACCAG